Molecule: ribosomal RNA, 452 nt
Filed under: uncultured bacterium
Lineage: Bacteria
Description: bacterial SSU rRNA
Rfam family: Bacterial small subunit ribosomal RNA
Source: RNAcentral
AGCGAACGCUGGCGGCAGGCUUAACACAUGCAAGUCGAACGGGCGUAGCAAUACGUCAGUGGCAGACGGGUGAGUAACGCGUGGGAACGUACCUUUUGGUUCGGAACAACCCAGGGAAACUUGGGCUAAUACCGGAUAAGCCCUUACGGGGAAAGAUUUAUCGCCGAAAGAUCGGCCCGCGUCUGAUUAGCUAGUUGGUGAGGUAACGGCUCACCAAGGCGACGAUCAGUAGCUGGUCUGAGAGGAUGAUCAGCCACAUUGGGACUGAGACACGGCCCAAACUCCUACGGGAGGCAGCAGUGGGGAAUAUUGGACAAUGGGCGGCAAGCCUGAUCCAGCCAUGCCGCGUGGGUGAUGAAGGCCCUAGGGUUGUAAAGCUCUUUGUGCGGGAAGAUAAUGACGGUACCGCAAGAAUAAGCCCCGGCUAACUUCGUGCCAGCCGCCGCAGUAAG